Long non-coding RNA from Dermochelys coriacea (leatherback sea turtle), 149 nucleotides. RefSeq lists it as uncharacterized. The transcript has 4 exons. The record is from RefSeq and is a predicted model, not a curated record. Lineage: Eukaryota; Metazoa; Chordata; Testudines; Dermochelyidae.
GAGACAAUAUGAUAUUUUUUGUCUUAUAAUAGGACAGAAACUAUCCCUUUAUUAAUUAUUCCCAGCAUUCUUUUGGCUUUUUUGACUGCCACUCCACAUUGAGUGGAUGUUUUCAGAGAACUAUCUAAAAUGACUCGAAGAUCUCUUUC